UAAAGUUAAGACGUAUCAUUGCACUUGACAUUUAUUAAUUGUGUAAUAUUUACAGUUGUGUUAUUUUCCACAUCCUGCUACUGACUAAUUAUUGGUUGCAUACAAUGAAAAUUUCGAAGAAUUAGAAAGACGCCACAGAAUUCAAAAUGGCAUCACGUGAUUAAUGGCGGUUUAUCACUCUUUCCUCUUCUUGCUUUCUACGCAGGAUCUAGUGAUACUUCAAAAGCUAAGAAUAUUUCUUCAAGCUUUCAUUUCAUGAAAUUGGACGAUUUCUAUUUGGUGACUAGAUUACAAUUCAUCGAUGACAAUGUUCUUCGCAUUUCAUCUUUGUUUCAGAAACCAUUCUGACAUCAAUAGAAGAGGAUUCGUAUCUUACAUCAUGUCCGAUACAAUAUUUUAUUCCUUCUAUCUAUCUCCAUUUCAUUUCCAAAUUUUUUUUAAAACAUAUGACGGGCGAAAUAAAAAUUUAGUGCAGUUUAUGAAUUAAUGAUUAGCAAAGAAUUUCUUUCCAAUAAUA
Molecule: long non-coding RNA, 517 nt
Organism: Frieseomelitta varia
Lineage: Eukaryota; Metazoa; Arthropoda; Insecta; Hymenoptera; Apidae
Exons: 5
Source: RefSeq, a predicted model, not a curated record